RNAcentral lists this ribosomal RNA (253 nucleotides) under uncultured bacterium. RNAcentral describes it as "partial 16S ribosomal RNA". It matches the Rfam family "Archaeal small subunit ribosomal RNA", at positions 474 to 727 of the family's 1478-position model. The record is from RNAcentral.
UACCAGCACCCCGAGUGGUCGGGACGAUUAUUGGGCCUAAAGCAUCCGUAGCCGGUCCUGUAAGUCUUCCGUUAAAUCCAGCUGCUCAACAGAUGGGCUGCGGGGGAUACUACAGGGCUAGGAGGCGGGAGAGGCAAGCGGUACUUUAUGGGUAGGGGUAAAAUCCGUUGAUCCAUAGAAGACCACCAGUGGCGAAGGCGGCUUGCCAGAACGCGCUCGACGGUGAGGGAUGAAAGCUGGGGGAGCAAACCGG